UGGUGAUGGCGAUGGGAGGAAGAAGCCGAGAGGCGGUGUCUCUGCCAAUCAAACACCGUGCCUGGUUUACUUCAGCAGAGUCAUCCCCGUGCCUCGCUGAGGUAAACCAGGUGCGGUGUUUGAUUGGCAGAGCCUCCGCCGCUCAGCCUCUUCCUCCCGUCGCCAUCACCG
Podarcis lilfordi (Lilford's wall lizard) is the source of this 171-nucleotide non-coding RNA. Lineage: Eukaryota; Metazoa; Chordata; Lepidosauria; Squamata; Lacertidae. The record is from the annotation of a GenBank genome assembly.